Molecule: non-coding RNA, 220 nt
Filed under: Bradyrhizobium lablabi
Lineage: Bacteria; Pseudomonadati; Pseudomonadota; Alphaproteobacteria; Hyphomicrobiales; Nitrobacteraceae
Also listed under: 1 other name
Source: RNAcentral
CAAGUCCUUCACGGAAGGAGUAGCGAUCCACACCGGCCCCGAGUCAUGCGCGGGUCGUCGCGAGGCGACGCGUGAAGCGUUGACAGGGGAACGCAUAGGCCAGCCAUUGAGCGGCGAAAUUCCAAUCAUUCGGAGUGCCGAUGCCCUCGUUCCGGCAGAAGGCAAUAUGGUCGGGCACGCGAUCGCGAGUGCCCGAUCGGCUCCGCGCCCUCUGAGACCC